GUUUUCUCUUCUGGCAGCCUCCGCUGGUGCAGAGGGAUGCGAGGCACUUUGCUGCCUGGCUCAGAGCGGGGCCUUGCUUUCCGAGGCCGGGGACCGGGUCUGUGCUACGCAGUCUCCAGAUGGCUGUGACGUAAAGAAGAAACAUCCUGCGUGGAUUUCUUAAGAAUAAACAGUCUCUAUUGGCUUUAAAGAGGAAUGCUGAAGAUUCUGUAAUAAUUGCAGUCAGACCCCCAUCCUAAUGCCAGCAUCCCCACCUUCUGUGGGGAAGACACACAGGAGCCCCCCUUAAGAUGCUGUGAGGUACAUAAGAAGGGUGUAGCAUUACAUAAAUCCCCUUUUUCCCACUAAAUCAUGGUAGAAUUCAUGCAGAUGUAAACCACGGCAUGCCAGUACAGCGCAGGCCAGCUUUCCCUGCAGAGCAUCCCUUUCCUCCCAGCCAGGUAAGUCACUUGACUAGCUCGCCUUCUAAUAAAGGUGCCUCAUCAUUU
Molecule: long non-coding RNA, 488 nt
Organism: Aquila chrysaetos chrysaetos
Lineage: Eukaryota; Metazoa; Chordata; Aves; Accipitriformes; Accipitridae
Exons: 2
Source: RefSeq, a predicted model, not a curated record